Molecule: ribosomal RNA, 255 nt
Filed under: uncultured bacterium
Lineage: Bacteria
Description: partial 16S ribosomal RNA
Rfam family: Bacterial small subunit ribosomal RNA
Source: RNAcentral
CACGUAGGGGGCAAGCGUUGUCCGGAUUUAUUGGGCGUAAAGAGCUCGUAGGCGGCUUAGUAAGUCGGGUGUGAAACCUCCAGGCUCAACCUGGAGACGCCACCCGAUACUGCUGUGGCUAGAGUCCGGUAGGGGAGCGUGGAAUUCCUGGUGUAGCGGUGAAAUGCGCAGAUAUCAGGAGGAACACCAGCGGCGAAGGCGGCGCUCUGGGCCGGUACUGACGCUGAUUGUGCGAAAGCUAGGGGAGCGAACCGG